Molecule: long non-coding RNA, 508 nt
Organism: Cucumis melo (muskmelon)
Lineage: Eukaryota; Viridiplantae; Streptophyta; Magnoliopsida; Cucurbitales; Cucurbitaceae
Exons: 2
Source: RefSeq, a predicted model, not a curated record
CCCCUUUCUCUCCCAAAACCCUCAAUCUCUAUCUCUAUCUCCAUCUUUUGUCUCUAAGUCUCUUUAUCUUCAUCAGCUGCUGUCCACUAUAGCCCAUGCAGGGUCUCUACUGCCCGCAACCACAGCCACACAAACUCCACCGUCUGCGACCACGGCCACACAAGCUUCACUGAUGUUCGAUUGAAGAAGCUUCGGGAUGCUUCACUAUACCUUUAUGAUUGAAGGAAGGAACAAGGAUGAUGUAGAGGAAGCAAUUGCAAUGGUGGAAGCAUUAGAAGUUCAACUUACUCAGCGAGAAGAGGAACUAAUUCCAGAAAACGCUGAAGUGAAGAAGCUAGUUAAUUUUCUUAAGUAGGUUUUUUUAGCAUUUUAAACAAAUUUUGGGUGGUAUUUUUCAUAUCUUGGAAAAAGCAUGUAGUACUUCCAUGGCUGUGGUCGCGAUAUGUUUUUAAACUACUUACAUUGUAACCUUAUAAAUAGUAUAAUAUGUGACUUUUUUUUUAACAAA